This 253-nucleotide ribosomal RNA is filed under the name uncultured bacterium. RNAcentral describes it as "partial 16S ribosomal RNA". It matches the Rfam family "Bacterial small subunit ribosomal RNA", at positions 524 to 776 of the family's 1533-position model. The record is from RNAcentral.
UACAGAGGGUGCAAGCGUUAAUCGGAAUUACUGGGCGUAAAGCGUGCGCAGGCGGUGAUGUAAGACAGUUGUGAAAUCCCCGGGCUCAACCUGGGAACUGCAUCUGUGACUGCAUCGCUGGAGUACGGCAGAGGGGGAUGGAAUUCCGCGUGUAGCAGUGAAAUGCGUAGAUAUGCGGAGGAACACCGAUGGCGAAGGCAAUCCCCUGGGCCUGUACUGACGCUCAUGCACGAAAGCGUGGGGAGCAAACAGG